This is a long non-coding RNA of Perca flavescens (yellow perch), 1328 nucleotides long. RefSeq lists it as uncharacterized. NCBI's taxonomy places the organism in Eukaryota, Metazoa, Chordata, Actinopteri, Perciformes, Percidae. The transcript has 3 exons. The record is from RefSeq and is a predicted model, not a curated record.
UUCCCAUAGUAAACUCAGUAGGUUUGAAAUCAAUUAAUUGUGUUUGGAGCAACUUUCAAAGUGUACCUGGCAGACGACGGGGAACUGCCUCCUGUGGACAUGAAGGCCAUCGAUGCCCAGCGGGAAGACAGCACCCAGCGCCAUCAUGCAGCCCACGGCAGUCAUGUUGUUAAGUGCAACAGAUGCCAAAUAUCGCGAGAGUAUUGUCUGUCUGUCCAUAAAGGCCCUACCAUGUCAUGAACAGUAACCUAAGCUGCAUGUGUCUGAAUAAGAACUAGACAUCAGUUUAACAGAUGUUGAAGGUGAGGCAGAUGAUUCCCAGCAGGAUUCCCAACCCAGCAAAGACAGACACGGACACAAAGAUCUUCUGGGACAGGUAGCGAAACUCCUCGAUGACCACUGUCUGGUCUGCAGGCGGCCCUGAGCCUAGAAAACACGGAGGAGAGGAUGAGAAGGAUGAAGAGACUACAGCCAUGCCUCAUCCGGAUUUGUGAUGCGUUCUGGCUGCAUCGUAGUUUUGUUGUCAUCCUCCGCCACGUGUGCCAUACCACACCAGGAGUGUCUCAGAAAUGAAGAUUUGCCUGCCUGCUCGCAGAUUUAUUGUCUCUACAAGUAGGCUACUUGAAAGAACAAUCACUUUUUUAUUUAGCUAGUAUCUACCUUCCACUCCAAGCACUCCUGUAACUAAACUCCAUGCCUUCUCUUUUCUGGAGUUGUCCGUAAAAAGGAUCUGUGAUGUCGUUUUAUGUUUUUCCACCUCCAAGAUGAAUCUUUCGUCAUCCGUGGUGUUGUAGAGGAGAUACAAACGAUAUUCAGGGGGUGUUUUGCUAAAUUUACUGGAUACUCUCACUGUUUCACUUCCUGCCCGGCUGCUCGAACACCCGGCAGCUCACGUGAAAAUAGACCUGGUGCGUAUCUUAAGUGAAGCAAAGAGCCACUUCACACACGCUUCUGUUGACGAAUAUCCUACAUUGACUUGAAUAGCCGCCAUUGCUCGCUGGGGCCACGGCGCCUCCGGAACGCAGACGCGCAUGAUGGAAAAUAGGGGUCAGCCUCCAAUGUCCCAUUGAUGUUUGUUGUAAAUCACAUACAGUCACUUGGUGUGUGGCUCCAUUACCAAGUUUCAUUUAACGUUCAGUUCACAACCAGCACUAACAGGUACACAGACACAGUUCAGGACUGAGAAAAACACUUUCACUUCUCGGUUCAUUUCAUUCAUUGACCUCUAAUUUACAUUAUUCAUGAGCCAUUUAUCGACCUUUAUUAAACAUUGGCAUAAUAGAGGUCUGUUCAAUGAUGCACAAGGCUCAGUCAAAUGAGGUUGUACU